GACGAACGCUGGCGGCGUGCUUAACACAUGCAAGUCGAACGGAAAGGCCCUGCUUUUGUGGGGUGCUCGAGUGGCGAACGGGUGAGUAACACGUGAGUAACCUGCCCUUGACUUUGGGAUAACUUCAGGAAACUGGGGCUAAUACCGGAUAGGAGCUCCUGCUGCAUGGUGGGGGUUGGAAAGUUUCGGCGGUUGGGGAUGGACUCGCGGCUUAUCAGCUUGUUGGUGGGGUAGUGGCUUACCAAGGCUUUGACGGGUAGCCGGCCUGAGAGGGUGGCCGGCCAAAUUGGGACUGAGAUACGGCCCAGACUCCUACGGGAGGCAGCAGUGGGGAAUAUUGCACAAUGGGCGGAAGCCUGAUGCAGCAACGCCGCGUGCGGGAUGACGGCCUUCGGGUUGUAAACCGCUUUCGCCUGUGACGAAGCGUGAGUGACGGUAAUGGGUAAAGAAGCACCGGCUAACUACGUG
This 468-nucleotide ribosomal RNA is filed under the name uncultured bacterium. Its description in RNAcentral is "partial 16S ribosomal RNA". It matches the Rfam family "Bacterial small subunit ribosomal RNA", at positions 28 to 507 of the family's 1533-position model. The record is from RNAcentral.